CAAGUCUUUGUAGUACAAUCAAUAUACUGGUCUUGUAAACCAGAGAAGGAGAACAACCAACCUCC
Molecule: transfer RNA, 65 nt
Filed under: Ovis aries musimon (mouflon)
Lineage: Eukaryota; Metazoa; Chordata; Mammalia; Artiodactyla; Bovidae
Description: partial tRNA-Thr
Source: RNAcentral